UAAAGCCGCUCAAUGUUCCUAAAGGGAGAA
RNAcentral lists this non-coding RNA (30 nucleotides) under Rattus norvegicus (Norway rat). The record is from RNAcentral. Lineage: Eukaryota; Metazoa; Chordata; Mammalia; Rodentia; Muridae.